GGUAUGUAAAGCUCUAUCAGCAGGGAAGAUAAUGACGGUACCUGACUAAGAAGCUCCGGCUAAAUACGUGCCAGCAGCCGCGGUAAUACGUAUGGAGCAAGCGUUAUCCGGAUUUACUGGGUGUAAAGGGUGCGUAGGUGGCAGUGCAAGUCAGAUGUGAAAGGCCGGGGCUCAACCCCGGAGCUGCAUUUGAAACUGCAUAGCUAGAGUACAGGAGAGGCAGGCGGAAUUCCUAGUGUAGCGGUGAAAUGCGUAGAUAUUAGGAGGAACACCAGUGGCGAAGGCGGCCUGCUGGACUGUUACUGACACUGAGGCACGAAAGCGUGGGGAGCAAACAGGAUUAGAUACCCUGGUAGUCCCACGCCGUAAACGCAUGAAUACUAGGUGUCGGGGCCGUAUAGGCUUCGGUGCCGCCGCUAACGCAGUAAGUAUUCCACCUGGGGAGUA
Molecule: ribosomal RNA, 447 nt
Filed under: uncultured bacterium
Lineage: Bacteria
Description: bacterial SSU rRNA
Rfam family: Bacterial small subunit ribosomal RNA
Source: RNAcentral